UGCCACAUGGUGUAAUGGUAGCACAGCAGUCUCUGGAACUGCUUGUCUAGGUUCGAAUCCUAGUGUGGCAACCA
RNAcentral lists this transfer RNA (74 nucleotides) under Lentisphaerota bacterium. Its description in RNAcentral is "Lentisphaerae bacterium (anaerobic digester metagenome) tRNA-Gln". It matches the Rfam family "tRNA". Rfam says of the family: Transfer RNA (tRNA) molecules are approximately 80 nucleotides in length. Their secondary structure includes four short double-helical elements and three loops (D, anti-codon, and T loops). Further hydrogen bonds mediate the characteristic L-shaped molecular structure. tRNAs have two regions of fundamental functional importance: the anti-codon, which is responsible for specific mRNA codon recognition, and the 3' end, to which the tRNAs corresponding amino acid is attached (by aminoacyl-tRNA synthetases). tRNAs cope with the degeneracy of the genetic code in two manners: having more than one tRNA (with a specific anti-codon) for a particular amino acid; and 'wobble' base-pairing, i.e. permitting non-standard base-pairing at the 3rd anti-codon position. Lineage: Bacteria; Pseudomonadati; Lentisphaerota. The record is from RNAcentral.